AACUCUUUUUCAAGUUCUGGUGAGAUUCGCCGGAGAUAAAUAAAAGAUAAAGUAUAGUCUACAAAACACAUAGUUCACUCUUCAGGGCUUGUGCCAGAUGGAUUUGGGAAAGUCUUUAUUACUCCCAUUACUCGAAAAUGAGUUCAAAUGACGUCAGAACAAACGCACACAAUAUGUGCCCAGUGUAUUUAAAAGGGCAUACUGCAAAACAAAUAACCUCACUGCAACAGAGACAUAAUAGCUUGUGCUUCACCAUUACUGAAGAAUGCUUCCCAUUGCUCUUGUUCUCCUCUUCUUCUCCCUCCUGCUGCCAUGCGGAGGUGCAUCUGUCAAACCAGUGUUUUCCAACAGAGCCAUGGAAACUUCAGCAGACACACAGACAGGACUAUCUGAAGGCUACAUCCCACGACUCCUUAUACUCCUCUCAAACGUAAAGAAUACCGAACAGGACAAUAACAUGCGCUUCAGAGGAACUCUCGUCGACGGAGAUGCAGGUCCCAUGAAAAGACAGGAGGAGAAUGAUGCUGAACCCCCAGCUGAAGUCUUCACAGUUAAACAGGCUAAACGCAAGGAAGGCUGCAAGUUUUUGUACUAUAAAACGUGGACCACUUGCUAAAAUGAGUGAGUGUUGUAACACAAUUUGUUUAAAAGUCUGUGACUCAGUAUUUUUUUUUUUUAAUCUGCUACAAAUUCUGCCAUGGAUUCCUAAACUGUGUCAAACAAUGUCAAACAAAGAGCGUCUGUUACAGCUGUCUCUGUUACAGGGAGUAUAACAAUAUUAAACACAUUUAAUUUCUGUGCUUGAAUUGUGUUAAUAAAAUGUACUAAUAAAAUGUAAUAAUAUAAUCAUUGGAAAGCAAUAUAGGCCAUGUGGGUGAUUAGUAAUCCAAUUGAAAUUUAUGAUGUGCUUUUUGUACAAAAAUGGCCUAUAUUUAAUGAUGUAAGGAAACUUGAAAAAUAU
Non-coding RNA from Pimephales promelas (fathead minnow), 961 nucleotides. The record is from RefSeq and is a predicted model, not a curated record. NCBI's taxonomy places the organism in Eukaryota, Metazoa, Chordata, Actinopteri, Cypriniformes, Leuciscidae.